RNAcentral lists this ribosomal RNA (467 nucleotides) under uncultured bacterium. RNAcentral's name for it is "partial 16S ribosomal RNA". It matches the Rfam family "Bacterial small subunit ribosomal RNA", at positions 29 to 507 of the family's 1533-position model. The record is from RNAcentral.
ACGAACGCUGGCGGCGUGCUUCACCCAUGCAAGUCGAACGGAAAGGCCCUGCUUUUGUGGGGUGCUCGAGUGGCGAACGGGUGAGUAACACGUGAGUAACCUGCCCUUGACUUUGGGAUAACUUCAGGAAACUGGGGCUAAUACCGGAUAGGAGCUCCUGCUGCAUGGUGGGGGUUGGAAAGUUUCGGCGGUUGGGGAUGGACUCGCGGCUUAUCAGCUUGUUGGUGGGGUAGUGGCUUACCAAGGCUUUGACGGGUAGCCGGCCUGAGAGGGUGGCCGGCCACAUUGGGACUGAGAUACGGCCCAGACUCCUACGGGAGGCAGCAGUGGGGAAUAUUGCACAAUGGGCGGAAGCCUGAUGCAGCAACGCCGCGUGCGGGAUGACGGCCUUCGGGUUGUAAACCGCUUUCGCCUGUGACGAAGCGUGAGUGACGGUAAUGGGUAAAGAAGCACCGGCUAACUACGUG